This 253-nucleotide ribosomal RNA is filed under the name uncultured bacterium. Its description in RNAcentral is "partial 16S ribosomal RNA". It matches the Rfam family "Bacterial small subunit ribosomal RNA", at positions 524 to 776 of the family's 1533-position model. The record is from RNAcentral.
AACGUAGGUGGCGAGCGUUAUCCGGAUUUACUGGGCGUAAAGGGCGCGUAGGCGGCCUUCUAAGUCAGACGUGAAAUCCCCAGGCUUAACUUGGGAACUGCGUCUGAUACUGGGAGGCUUGAGUGCGGGAGAGGGAUGUGGAAUUCCAGGUGUAGCGGUGAAAUGCGUAGAUAUCUGGAGGAACACCGGUGGCGAAGGCGGCAUCCUGGACCGACACUGACGCUGAGGCGCGAAAGCUAGGGGAGCAAACGGG